CCCUUUGUGAACAUACCUAUAACUGUUGCUUCGGCGGGUAGGGUCCCCGUGACCCUCCCGGCCUCCCGCCCCCCGGGCGGGUCGGCGCCCGCCGGAGGAUAACCAAACUCUGAUUUAACGACGUUUCUUCUGAGUGGUACAAGCAAAUAAUCAAAACUUUUAACAACGGAUCUCUUGGUUCUGGCAUCGAUGAAGAACGCAGCGAAAUGCGAUAAGUAAUGUGAAUUGCAGAAUUCAGUGAAUCAUCGAAUCUUUGAACGCACAUUGCGCCCGCCAGCAUUCUGGCGGGCAUGCCUGUUCGAGCGUCAUUUCAACCCUCAAGCUCUGCUUGGUGUUGGGGCCCUACAGCUGAUGUAGGCCCUCAAAGGUAGUGGCGGACCCUCCCGGAGCCUCCUUUGCGUAGUAACUUUACGUCUCGCACUGGGAUCCGGAGGGACUCUUGCCGUAAAACCCCCAAUUUUCCAAAGGUUGACCUCGGAUCAGGUAGGAAUACCCGCUGAACUUAAGC
RNAcentral lists this ribosomal RNA (508 nucleotides) under Colletotrichum musae. RNAcentral's name for it is "eukaryotic LSU rRNA". The stretch from base 155 to 308 matches the Rfam family "5.8S ribosomal RNA". Lineage: Eukaryota; Fungi; Ascomycota; Sordariomycetes; Glomerellales; Glomerellaceae. The record is from RNAcentral.